GUCCGCUCCCCACUCAUUUCAUCUCAUCUGAACAGAUCUCAUCUCAUCAGAACAGAACUCAUCUCAUCUUAUCCCUCCACACCCACACCCCACUACACCACCACACCCCACCACACACCUCCACACACCACUACACCACCUCCACACACCACUACACACCUCCACACACCACCUCCACACUACACCACCUCCACACACCACUACACACCUCCACACACCACUACACCACCUCCACACACCACUACACCACCUCCACACGCCUCCACACACCACUACAACACCUCCACACGCCUCCACACCCCACUACACCACCUCCACACACCACUACAACACCUCCACACCCCACUACACCACCUCCACACACCACUACACACCUCCACACACCACUACACCACCUCCACACACCACUACACACCUCCACACACCACUACACCAUCUCCACACACCCCACUACAACACCUCCACAUGCCUCCACACACCACUACACCACCUCCACACACCACUACACCACCUCCACACACCACUACACACCUCCACACACCACUACACCACCUCCACACCCCACCACACACCUCCACACACCACUACACCACCUCCACACCCCACUACACCACCUCCACACACCACUACACACCUCCACACACCACUACACACCUCCACACACCACUACACCACCUCCACACACCACUACACACCUCCACACACCACUACACACCUCCACACACCACUACACCACCUCCACACCCCACUACACCACCUCCACACACCUCCACACACCUCCACACCCCACUACACCACCUCCACACCCCACUACACCACCUCCACACGCCUCCACACACCACUACACACCUCCACACACCACUACACCACCUCCACACCCCACUACACACCUCCACACACCACUACACCACCUCCACACCCCACUACAACACCUCCACACACCACCACACACCACUACACCACCUCCACACACCACUACACCACCUCCACACACCACUACACCACCUCAGCACACCACUACACACCUCCACACACCCCUACACCACCUCCACACCCCACCACACACCUCCACACCCCACCACACACCUCCACACACCACUACACCACCUCCACACCCCACCACACACCUCCACAAAACAUACAUGAUGUACUUUUGAGUACAAAACCAC
Molecule: long non-coding RNA, 1169 nt
Organism: Clupea harengus (Atlantic herring)
Lineage: Eukaryota; Metazoa; Chordata; Actinopteri; Clupeiformes; Clupeidae
Source: Ensembl